UGGGGAAUCUUCCGCAAUGGACGAAAGUCUGACGGAGCAACGCCGCGUGAGUGAUGACGGCCUUCGGGUUGUAAAGCUCUGUUAAUCGGGACGAAUGGUUCUUGUGCAAAUAGUGCGAGGAUUUGACGGUACCGGAAUAGAAAGCCACGGCUAACUACGUGCCAGCAGCCGCGGUAAUACGUAGGUGGCAAGCGUUGUCCGGAAUUAUUGGGCGUAAAGCGCGCGCAGGCGGAUUGGUCAGUCUGUCUUAAAAGUUCGGGGCUUAACCCCGUGAUGGGAUGGAAACUGCCAAUCUCGAGUAUCGGAGAGGAAAGUGGAAUUCCUAGUGUAGCGGUGAAAUGCGUAGAUAUUAGGAAGAACACCAGUGGCGAAGGCGACUUUCUGGACGAAAACUGACGCUGAGGCGCGAAAGCCAGGGGAGCGAACGGG
RNAcentral lists this ribosomal RNA (429 nucleotides) under bacterium. Its description in RNAcentral is "partial 16S ribosomal RNA". It matches the Rfam family "Bacterial small subunit ribosomal RNA", at positions 355 to 776 of the family's 1533-position model. The record is from RNAcentral.